UACGUAGGUGGCAAGCGUUGUCCGGAUUUAUUGGGUUUAAAGGGUGCGUAGGCGGCCCUGUAAGUCAGUGCUGAAAUAUCCCGGCUUAACCGGGAGGGUGGCAUUGAUACUGCGGGGCUAGAGUACAGAUGAGGUAGGCGGAAUUGACGGUGUAGCGGUGAAAUGCUUAGAUAUCGUCAAGAACACCGAUAGUGUAGACAGCUUACUAGACUUCAACUGACGCUGAGGCACGAAAGUGUGGGGAUCAAACAGG
RNAcentral lists this ribosomal RNA (253 nucleotides) under uncultured bacterium. RNAcentral's name for it is "partial 16S ribosomal RNA". It matches the Rfam family "Bacterial small subunit ribosomal RNA", at positions 524 to 776 of the family's 1533-position model. The record is from RNAcentral.